GAUGAACGCUAGCUACAGGCUUAACACAUGCAAGUCGAGGGGAAACGAUGAGAGAGCUUGCUCUCUUAGGCGUCGACCGGCGCACGGGUGAGUAACGCGUAUCCAACCUACCCAUUACAGGGGGAUAACCUUGCGAAAGUAAGACUAAUACCCCAUGGCAUUUUAUGGUGGCAUCAUUAUAGGAUUAAAGAUUUAUUGGUAAUGGAUGGGGAUGCGUCUGAUUAGCUUGUUGGCGGGGUAACGGCCCACCAAGGCAACGAUCAGUAGGGGUUCUGAGAGGAAGGUCCCCCACAUUGGAACUGAGACACGGUCCAAACUCCUACGGGAGGCAGCAGUGAGGAAUAUUGGGCAAUGGGCGAGAGCUUGAACCAGCCAAGUAGCGUGCAGGAUGACGGCCCUAUGGGUUGUAAACUGCUUUUAUAGGGGAAUAAAGUGAGCUACGUGUAGUUUAUUGCAUGUACCCUAUGAAUAAGGACCGGCUAAUUCCGUG
This 490-nucleotide ribosomal RNA is filed under the name uncultured bacterium. Its description in RNAcentral is "partial 16S ribosomal RNA". It matches the Rfam family "Bacterial small subunit ribosomal RNA", at positions 28 to 507 of the family's 1533-position model. The record is from RNAcentral.